This 77-nucleotide transfer RNA is filed under the name Candidatus Heimdallarchaeota archaeon. RNAcentral describes it as "tRNA-Pro". It matches the Rfam family "tRNA". Rfam says of the family: Transfer RNA (tRNA) molecules are approximately 80 nucleotides in length. Their secondary structure includes four short double-helical elements and three loops (D, anti-codon, and T loops). Lineage: Archaea; Promethearchaeati; Candidatus Heimdallarchaeota. The record is from RNAcentral.
GACCGGGUAGUCUAGUUUGGUAGGAUGUAUGCUUGGGGUGCAUAUGGUCGCGAGUUCGAAUCUCGUCUCGGUCACCA